This 300-nucleotide ribosomal RNA is filed under the name Triticum aestivum (bread wheat). Its description in RNAcentral is "partial small subunit ribosomal RNA". Lineage: Eukaryota; Viridiplantae; Streptophyta; Magnoliopsida; Poales; Poaceae. The record is from RNAcentral.
AUGAGGAGGAAGAGGCUCACCUUGUCAUCAUCAACGUCUGCGGAAGAAACCAAAGGGUCUUGUGGCACAUCAUGCUUGCCAGUGGCCGGCAAGGGCCGCUGCAUCGUGUACACUGACGACGGCACGAGGUUCGAGCUGCCGCUUGCGUUCCUUGGCUCGACGGUCUUUGGUGAGCUCUUGAGGAUGUCCCAAGAGGAGUUCGGCUUCGCAGGUCUAAGGAAUGAGCCUUGCGUUGCAACUUACAUUACCAGAGUCCUACUCCCUAGAGAUGGACUCGAAGUCAAUUGGAAAAUGCAGUAG